RNAcentral lists this ribosomal RNA (1425 nucleotides) under metagenome. RNAcentral describes it as "bacterial SSU rRNA". It matches the Rfam family "Archaeal small subunit ribosomal RNA". The record is from RNAcentral.
ACCCGUUGAUCCUGCGGGAGAUUGCUGCUAUCGGGAUUCGACUAAGCCAUGCAAGUCUUCUAGCAAUAGAGGCGAAAGGCUCAGUAACACGUCGUUAAUCUGCCCUUGAGUCAGGGAUAACCUUGGAAAACUAAGGCUAAACCCUGAUAGGAAAUGAGUUCUGGAAUGAACCUUUUCUCAAACUCGUGCUCAAGGAUGAGACGGCGGCUGAUUAGGCUGUUGGUGGGGUAAUGGCCCACCAAAACCGAAGAUCAGUAUGGGCCAUGAAAGUGGUAGCCCAGAGAGGGACACUGAGAUACUGGUCCCAGCCCUACGGGGUGCAGCAGGCGCGAAACCUUUACAAUGCACGCAAGUGUGAUAAGGGAAUCCCGAGUGCUCAUGCUUAGCAUGGGCUUUUGCUAAGAGUAAGAACCUUGGCGAAUAAGUGGUGGGCAAGACUGGUGCCAGCCGCCGCGGUAACACCAGCGCCACGAGUGGCAAUCACGAUUAUUGGGCCUAAAGCGUCCGUAGCCGGUUCGGUAAAUCCUUUGUGAAAUCGCCAGGCUUAACCUGGCGGCGUGCAGGGGACACUGCCGAACUCGAGACCGGGAGGAGUUAGAAGUAUUUCUGGGGGAGCGGUAAAAUGCUAUAAUCCCAGAAGGACUACCUAUGGCGAAGGCAUCUAACUAGAACGGAUCUGACGGUGAGGGACGAAAGCCAGGGGAGCGAACCGGAUUAGAUACCCGAGUAGUCCUGGCCGUAAACGCUGCGAGUUAGGUGUUGCAUAUUCUACAUGAAUGUGCAGUGUCGAAACGAAGGUGAUAAGCUCGCCGCCUGGGAAGUACGGUCGCAAGACUGAAACUUUAAGGAAUUGGCGGGGGAGCACUACAAGGGGUGCGGCGUGCGGUUUAAUCUAACUCAACGCAGAGAACCUCACUAGAGGCGACGGCAGAAUGAAGGUCAUGCCGAAGACAUUGCCUGACGAGCCGAGAGGUGGUGCAUGGCCGUCGUCAGCUCGUGCUGUAAAGUGUCCAGUUAAGUCUGGCAACGAGCGAGACCUGUAUCCACAAUUGCUAACGAACUUUGUGAUCGAGCACAUUGUGGGGACUGCCCUGGAAACAGGGAGGAAGGUGCAGGCAACGGUUGGUCUGUAUGCCCCGAAUCCUCUAGGCUACACGCGCGCAACAAUGGUAGGGACAAUGGGAUACGACCCCGAGAGGGGAAGUUAAACCUCUAAACCCUAUCUUAGUCCAGAUCGAGGCUUGCAACUCAGCCUCGUGACGACGGAAUCCCUAGUAAUUGGGCCUCAUCAUAGCCCAGUGAAUAUGUCCCUGCUCCUUGCACACACCGCCCGUCAAGCCAACCGAGCAGGGUUUGGGUAAAACUUAUCUUUCUUGGAUAUGUUGAAUCUAAGCUCAGUGAGGUGGGCUAAGUCGUCACAAGGUA